Molecule: ribosomal RNA, 460 nt
Filed under: uncultured bacterium
Lineage: Bacteria
Description: partial 16S ribosomal RNA
Rfam family: Bacterial small subunit ribosomal RNA
Source: RNAcentral
CCUACGGGAGGCAGCAGUGAGGAAUAUUGGUCAAUGGACGAGAGUCUGAACCAGCCACGUCGCGUGAAGGAUUACUGCUCUAUGGGUUGUAACCUUCUUUUAUAUGGGAAUAAAAUGUUCCACGUGUGGGAUUUUGUAUGUACCAUAUGAAUAAGGAUCGGCUAACUCCGUGCCAGCAGCCGCGGGAAUACGGAGGAUUCGAGCGUUAUCCGGAUUUAUUGGGUUUAAAGGGAGCGUAGGUGGAUUGUUAAGUCAGUUGUGAAAGUUUGCGGCUCAACCGUAGAAUUGCAGUUGAAACUGGCAGUCGUGAGUACAUGAGAGGUGGGCGGAAUUCGUGGUGUAGCGGUGAAAUGCUUAGAUAUCACGAAGAACUCCGAUUGCGAAGGCAGCUCACUGGACUGCAACUGACACUGAGGCGCGAAAGUGUGGGUAGCAAACAGGAUUAGAUACCCCUGUAGUC